RNAcentral lists this ribosomal RNA (1278 nucleotides) under Ampulex compressa. RNAcentral describes it as "16S ribosomal RNA". The record is from RNAcentral. Lineage: Eukaryota; Metazoa; Arthropoda; Insecta; Hymenoptera; Ampulicidae.
UUUAAAAUUUAAUGUAAAUAAAAAACCAUAAAAAUUUAAAAGUUAUUAUUAUUUAAUUUACCUUUUGUAUCAGGAUUUAUUAAAUAUAAAAUUUUAAUAUAAAUUAAUCUCGAAUUAAAAAGAACUAAUUUAUUAUAAUAAUUAAUAUAACAAAAUUACUAUAAAUAUUAAAUUAGAAAUGAAAUACUAAACGAUUUUUAAGAUAUCUAGUUUUUUUAAAAAUGAAUUUAAUUCAUAUUUUUAUUAAUUUAUUUUAUUCAAAUAAAUUGAAUUUAAUAAAUAAUCUAAAAAUAAAUAUUUUAAGGAAAACCUUUAAAAUAAAUUUUAAAAUAUUAAUAUUUAAAUAAAUUAUUAUUUAAAAAUUCAAUCCUAAUAAUAGACUAAUUAACAUAAAUAUUAUAAUUUAUUAAUACUAUAUAUAUAUAUAUAAUUUAAUAUUAAAUAUUUAAAACAAUUAUAAAAAAAUUAUUAUAAACAUGUAAUAAUAAUAUAUAAUGAUAAAAUUAAUAAUUUUAAAAUAAAUAUAUCAAAUAUUAACAAAUAUUAAUAUAUUAAAUUAAGGAACUCGGCAAAAUAUAGUUAUAUUUACUUAUAUAAUUCAUAAAUCCACCUGUUUAUCAAAAACAUGUCUUUAAGAUUAUAAUUUAAAGUUUCCUCUGCCCUAUGAAAAUUUUUAAAUGGCCGCAGUAUCCUGACUGUGCUAAGGUAGCAUAAUAAAUUGACUUAUAAUUUAAGCCUAGAAUGAACGAGUAAAUGAGAUUUAAACUGUCUCAAUUUAAUAAAAUAAACUUAAUCAUUAAGUAAAAAUACUUAAAUAAAAUUAAAAGACGAGAAGACCCUGUAGAAUUUUAUAUUUCUAAAUAUUAAUAUUCCAACAAUAAAAAUAAUUAAUACUUAAAAAUAUUUAAUUGGGAAGAUUAAAAAAUUAAAAUAACUUUUUUCAUACUUACAUAAAUUAAUGAAUAAAUAUUUAUGAUCUAUAUAAUUAUAAUCAUUAGAGAUAAUUACCUCAGGGAUAACAGCGCAAUAUUUUUUAAAAGAUCAUAUUUAAAAAAAUGUUUACGACCUCGAUGUUGAAUUAAGAUAAAAAUUAAGAGUAUAAACUUAAUAUUUAAGUCUGUUCGACUUUUAAAAUCUUACAUGAUUUGAGUUCAGAUCGACGUAAGUCAGAUCGGUUUCUAUCUUUAAUAAAUAAAUUAUAUUAUUGUACGAAAGGACCCAAUAUAAUUAAUAAUUAAAUAAAAUAGAAUAAAAAUAAAUUUCAAUAAAUUUUAUAAA